RNAcentral lists this small RNA (500 nucleotides) under Pongo abelii (Sumatran orangutan). Its description in RNAcentral is "processed transcript". The record is from RNAcentral. Lineage: Eukaryota; Metazoa; Chordata; Mammalia; Primates; Hominidae.
GGAACGUUCCGGGCGUUCUCGCUACGUACUCUUUAUCAAUCGUCUUCCCGCGCAGCCCCAUCCCUGUUUUCUGUGCUCCUUCGAGCUUGCUGUUUGUCCGGGUUUUUUACGUUUUAAUUUCCAGGACUUGAACUGCCAUGUCCUCUGAAGAAGGAAAGCUCUUCGUGGGAGGGCUCAACUUUAACACCGACGAGCAGGCACUGGAAGACCACUUCAGCAGUUUCGGACCUAUCUCUGAGGUGGUCGUUGUCAAGGACCGGGAGACUCAGCGGUCCAGGGGUUUUGGUUUCAUCACCUUCACCAACCCAGAUCUCUGGAUGGUCGUCAGAUCCGUGUGGAUCAUGCAGGCAAGUCUGCUCGGGGAACCAGAGGAGGUGGCUUUGGGGCCCAUGGGCGUGGUCGCAGCUACUCUAGAGGUGGUGGGGACCAGGGCUAUGGGAGUGGCAGGUAUUAUGACAGUCGACCUGGAGGGUAUGGAUAUGGAUAUGGACGUUCCAGAG